RNAcentral lists this ribosomal RNA (751 nucleotides) under uncultured archaeon. RNAcentral's name for it is "bacterial SSU rRNA". It matches the Rfam family "Archaeal small subunit ribosomal RNA", at positions 102 to 856 of the family's 1478-position model. The record is from RNAcentral.
AGUCAACAUGCCCAGGGGACGUGGAUAACCUCGGGAAACUGAGGAUAAACCGCGAUAGGUCAUCACUUCUGGAAUGGGUAAUGACUUAAACCUAUAUGGCCCCUGGAUUGGACUGCGGCCGAUCAGGCUGUUGGUGAGGUAAUGGCCCACCAAACCUGUAACCGGUACGGGCUCUGAGAGGAGGAGCCCGGAGAUGGGCACUGAGACAAGGGCCCAGGCCCUAUGGGGCGCAGCAGGCGCGAAACCUCUGCAAUAGGCGAAAGCUUGACAGGGUUACUCUGAGUGAUUUCCGUUAAGGAGAUCUUUUGGCACCUCUAAAAAUGGUGCAGAAUAAGGGGUGGGCAAGUCUGGUGUCAGCCGCCGCGGUAAUACCAGCACCCCGAGUGGUCGGGACGUUUAUUGGGCCUAAAGCAUCCGUAGCCGGUUCUACAAGUCUUCCGUUAAAUCCACCUGCUUAACAGAUGGGCUGCGGAAGAUACUAUAGAGCUAGGAGGCGGGAGAGGCAAGCGGUACUCGAUGGGUAGGGGUAAAAUCCGUUGAUCCAUUGAAGACCACCAGUGGCGAAGGCGGCUUGCCAGAACGCGCUCGACGGUGAGGGAUGAAAGCUGGGGGAGCAAACCGGAUUAGAUACCCGGGUAGUCCCAGCUGUAAACGAUGCAGACUCGGUGAUGAAUUGGCUUAUUGCUAAUUCAGUGCCGCAGGGAAGCCGUUAAGUUUGCCGCCUGGGGAGUACGGUCGCAAGACUGAAACU